RNAcentral lists this unclassified non-coding RNA (261 nucleotides) under uncultured fungus. RNAcentral's name for it is "sequence contains ITS1". Lineage: Eukaryota; Fungi. The record is from RNAcentral.
UUGUUCUUAUUUGUGUAGUACUCAGACGGCAGGUUCAAGACGAGUUUUGAGGGCCUCUGGCGGGCGCUGUCCAGCCGGGUGGCCGGCGGCGGAGGACCGCCGGCCCGCCAAAGCAACAGGUUCGAAGUUAACACAGGGUGGGAGCAGAGGCCCGGAGGCCUCGGUACUCUGUAAUGAUCCUUCCGCAGGUUCACCUACCUAGAAAAAAAUUAGCAUCUCGUCUCGACAAUAACUCGAGGUGUGGAUCUGGACUUACGGAAA